AGUCGAGGGAGAAGCGUUGGUUCCGUAAGGUUCCGACGUGGAAACGGGAACGGGUGCGUAACACGUGAGAAACCUGCCCCCCAGACGGGAUAGCCCAGGGAAACUUGGAUUAAUACCGGAUACUCUCUCGGGACCGCAUGGUCCCUUGAGGAAAUGGUCCGCUGCUGGGGGAUGGUCUCGCGGCCUAUCAGGUUGUUGGUGAGGUAACGGCUCACCAAGCCGAAGACGGGUAGCUGGUCUGAGAGGACGAUCAGCCACACUGGAACUGAGACACGGUCCAGACUCCUACGGGAGGCAGCAGCAGGGAAUAUUGCACAAUGGGCGAAAGCCUGAUGCAGCGACGCCGCGUGCGGGAUGAAGGCCUUCGGGUUGUAAACCGCUUUCAGGAGGGAAGAAACUGACGGUACCUCCAGAAGAAGCUCCGGCCAACUACGUGCCAGCAGCCGCGGUAAUACGUAGGGAGCGAACGUUGUCCGGAAUUAUUGGGCGUAAAGGGCUCGUAGGCGGUUCAACAAGUCGGUCGUGAAAGCCCGGGGCUCAACCCCGGGACGCCGGUCGAAACUGUUGUGACUUGAGUUCGGUAGAGGUGAGUGGAAUUCUCAGUGUAGCGGUGGAAUGCGCAGAUAUUGAGAGGAACACCAUUAGCGAAGGCGGCUCACUGGGCCGAUACUGACGCUGAGGAGCGAAAGCGUGGGGAGCAAACAGGAUUAGAUACCCUGGUAGUCCACGCCGUAAACGAUGAACACUAG
RNAcentral lists this ribosomal RNA (749 nucleotides) under uncultured microorganism. Its description in RNAcentral is "SSU rRNA". It matches the Rfam family "Bacterial small subunit ribosomal RNA", at positions 60 to 819 of the family's 1533-position model. The record is from RNAcentral.